Long non-coding RNA from Orcinus orca (killer whale), 466 nucleotides. RefSeq lists it as uncharacterized. NCBI's taxonomy places the organism in Eukaryota, Metazoa, Chordata, Mammalia, Artiodactyla, Delphinidae. The record is from RefSeq and is a predicted model, not a curated record. The transcript has 3 exons.
CGCCGCCCAAGACCCCGCUGACUCUGACUUGGCUUCUCAGUUCGCCGGUUGGGGCAGCGACCAACGGCCUUCCCACCGCGCCUGCUCAGCGCGCCGGAAGCGCUCCUCCGCUGGGGAAGGCGGCGUAGGUGCGCGAGGGUUGUUCCCAUUUUGUGGACUCCCAGUUCUGUGACCCUGUGCCCAUACAGCAAUCCCCCGGACUGCAGGCAUCCUGUAAGUUGAAACUGAGGCUCCGAGAGGACAAGUGACUUACCCAAGGUCACAAGCGUGAGAUGAUAAGAACUGAACCACAUCUCCUGACUCCAGAGUCCAGCUGUUUCCCACCUUCCUGUACUGCCUGCUAGACUCUACAUGUCAGCAUCAGACCAGGCCCGUUCCUGCAGCUGCCACUUCACAAGACUAUGGAGUCUGCUGGGAAUUCCCAGCUCCCUGCUCAGGGCCUGCCUGCUUGUCACCGCUUCCUGCC